This 253-nucleotide ribosomal RNA is filed under the name uncultured bacterium. Its description in RNAcentral is "partial 16S ribosomal RNA". It matches the Rfam family "Bacterial small subunit ribosomal RNA", at positions 524 to 776 of the family's 1533-position model. The record is from RNAcentral.
UACGAAGGGGGCUAGCGUUGCUCGGAAUCACUGGGCGUAAAGCGCACGUAGGCGGAUUGCUAAGUCAGGGGUGAAAGCCUGUGGCUCAACCACAGAAUUGCCUUCGAUACUGUAGAGCUUGAGACCGGAAGAGGUAAGUGGAACUGCGAGUGUAGAGGUGAAAUUCGUAGAUAUUCGCAAGAACACCAGUGGCGAAGGCGGCUUACUGGUCCGGUUCUGACGCUGAGGCGCGAAAGCGUGGGGAGCAAACAGG